Non-coding RNA from Labrus bergylta (ballan wrasse), 393 nucleotides. The record is from RefSeq and is a predicted model, not a curated record. Lineage: Eukaryota; Metazoa; Chordata; Actinopteri; Labriformes; Labridae.
AAUCCGACGGAGGGAAGACGCCAACCAACCGUCGAUAGACAUUCCUGGACUCUGUAGCCGGAUGUAUUCCUCAGAUAGGAGUCAACUAUCCUGGAUCUCGACACACCGCAUGCUGACAGCUGCUUCCCAGAGUCCAGAUGAAUGCCAAAGAGGAGCCCGGAGUGUUGGAGCUGAGUGUACCAGUCCCCCGCUGAAACCCCAUCUCCCUCACACUGGGACAGCACUGCUCCCUCCAGGAUCCGAUGAUUACAGGGCAGCUGAGCAAGCCGCUGCUCUCCCUGCGCAGCGACAUGAGCGUGGCAGAACUCCGGGCGGACGACAAAGCGGCCAGCCCAGACAGCGAUCUGAACGACGAGCCCUUGCUCCUGUCCUCUGAGGCCACGGACAGAGACG